This 268-nucleotide ribosomal RNA is filed under the name uncultured bacterium. RNAcentral's name for it is "partial 16S ribosomal RNA". The record is from RNAcentral.
CUGCUGCCUUCCGUAGGAGUUUGGGCCGUGUCUCAGUCCCAAUGUGGCCGUUCACCCUCUCAGGCCGGCUACUGAUCGUCGCCUUGGUGGGCCGUUACCCCGCCAACCAGCUAAUCAGACGCGGGUCCAUCUUGCACCACCGGAGUUUUUCACACCGAGCCAUGCGGCUCUGUGCGCUUAUGCGGUAUUAGCACCUACUUCUAAGUGUUAUCCCCCGUGCAGCGACGGUUCCCCGUACCCGCGUUGGUCUCCACCCGUCCCGGUCCCA